Molecule: ribosomal RNA, 465 nt
Filed under: uncultured bacterium
Lineage: Bacteria
Description: bacterial SSU rRNA
Rfam family: Bacterial small subunit ribosomal RNA
Source: RNAcentral
AAUCAACGCUGGCGGCGUGCCUAACACAUGCAAGUCGAACGCGAGAGAGGCUUCGGCCUCGAUUGAGUGGCGAACGGGUGAGUAACACGUGGGUGACCUACCUUCGAGUGGGGGAUAACGUCCCGAAAGGGACGCUAAUACCGCAUAACAUCCUGCCUUUGAACAGGCGGAGAUCAAAGCCGGGGAUCGUAAGACCUGGCGCUUGAUGAGGGGCCCGCGUCCGAUUAGCUAGNGGUGGGGUAAGUGGCUCACCAAGGCGACGAUCGGUAACCGGCCUGAGAGGGCGGGACGGUCACACUGGGACUGAGACACGGCCCACGACUCCUACGGGAGGCAGCAGUGGGGAAUUGUUCGCAAUGGGCGCAAGCCUGACGACGCAACGCCGCGUGGAGGAUGAAGGUCUUCGGAUUGUAAACUCCUGUUGCCCGGGACGAAAGACUUAGACCUAAUACGUCUGAGUCUGAC